RNAcentral lists this microRNA precursor (58 nucleotides) under Macaca mulatta (Rhesus monkey). RNAcentral's name for it is "Mml-Mir-506-P3_pre stem-loop". Lineage: Eukaryota; Metazoa; Chordata; Mammalia; Primates; Cercopithecidae. The record is from RNAcentral.
UACUCCAGAGGGCGUCACUCACAUAAACUAAAACAUGAUUGUCGCCUUUUUGAGUAGA